UUAAAUAUUAUAUAAUACUCAGACAGCAAUAUAAAGGAAUUAAGGGGUCCUCUGGCAGGCACUAACCAGCCGAGGCCAGUAGUUGUAAAACAGGCCUGCCAAAGCAACAAAGGUAUUAUAGACAAAGGGUGGGAGAUAUACCCUAAAGGGCAUGUUCUCUGUAAUGAUCCUUCCGCAGGUUCACCUACGGAACGCAAACUCUACUAGAUUUUACAAGAGUAGGCCGGUCAUAUCUAAAUCCUAUAGCUACUAAAAACUCAGCAGGUAAUAACAGCUAAGGACCACCUUUGUUUGAUCUGUGAACUACAAUUAGUAGCUGCUUAUUACCUAUAGGUAUCCAAGCACAUUAAAGGUGUUGCCUAUACAAUAGACUGAGGAUCAAGGCUUCAGCAUGGUGAGUUUUAUGAAA
RNAcentral lists this unclassified non-coding RNA (409 nucleotides) under uncultured fungus. Its description in RNAcentral is "sequence contains ITS1". The record is from RNAcentral. Lineage: Eukaryota; Fungi.